GGCGGCUCGAGUGGUAACCGUUAUUAUUGGGUCUAAAGGGUCUGUAGCCGGCCGGAUAAGUCUCUUGGGAAAUCCAGCAGCUUAACUGUUGGGCUUUCAGGAGAUACUGUCUGGCUCGAGGCCGGGAGAGGUGAGAGGUACUUCAGGGGUAGGGGUGAAAUCUUGUAAUCCUUGAAGGACCACCAGUGGCGAAGGCGUCUCACCAGAACGGACCUGACGGCAAGGGACGAAAGCUAGGGGCACGAACCG
This 249-nucleotide ribosomal RNA is filed under the name uncultured euryarchaeote. RNAcentral describes it as "partial 16S ribosomal RNA". It matches the Rfam family "Archaeal small subunit ribosomal RNA", at positions 478 to 726 of the family's 1478-position model. Lineage: Archaea; Methanobacteriati; Methanobacteriota. The record is from RNAcentral.